Molecule: ribosomal RNA, 492 nt
Filed under: uncultured bacterium
Lineage: Bacteria
Description: partial 16S ribosomal RNA
Rfam family: Bacterial small subunit ribosomal RNA
Source: RNAcentral
AGUGAACGCUGGCGGUAGGCCUAACACAUGCAAGUCGAACGGCAGCACAGUAAGAGCUUGCUCUUACGGGUGGCGAGUGGCGGACGGGUGAGGAAUACAUCGGAAUCUACUUUUUCGUGGGGGAUAACGUAGGGAAACUUACGCUAAUACCGCAUACGACCUACGGGUGAAAGCAGGGGAUCUUCGGACCUUGCGCGAUUGAAUGAGCCGAUGUCGGAUUAGCUAGUUGGCGGGGUAAAGGCCCACCAAGGCGACGAUCCGUAGCUGGUCUGAGAGGAUGAUCAGCCACACUGGAACUGGGACACGGUCCGGACGCCUACGGGAGGCAGCAGUGGGGAAUAUUGGACAAUGGGCGCAAGCCUGAUCCAGCCAUACCGCGUGGGUGAAGAAGGCCUUCGGGUUGUAAAGCCCUUUUGUUGGGAAAGAAAAGCAGCAGGUUAAUACCCCGCUGUUCUGACGGUACCCAAAGAAUAAGCACCGGCUAACUUCGUG